RNAcentral lists this transfer RNA (69 nucleotides) under Larsonella pumila. Its description in RNAcentral is "tRNA-Glu". It matches the Rfam family "tRNA". From Rfam's summary of the family: Transfer RNA (tRNA) molecules are approximately 80 nucleotides in length. Their secondary structure includes four short double-helical elements and three loops (D, anti-codon, and T loops). Lineage: Eukaryota; Metazoa; Chordata; Actinopteri; Gobiiformes; Gobiidae. The record is from RNAcentral.
GUUUUUGUGGUUGAAUUACAACGGUGGUUUUUCAAGUCACUAGUCUUGGUUAGAAUCCAAGCAGAAACC